CAGGAAGUCCAUUGAUUGUGGCCUGUGGAAUAUUGUCCCACUCCUCUUCACUGGCUGUGCGAAGUUGCUGGAUAUUGGCGAGAACUGGAACAUGUUGUCGUAGACGUCGAUCCAGAGCAUCCCAAAUAUGCUCAAUGAGUGUCUGGUGAGGGUUGCAAAGGUCAACGCUUAUAGCUAUAUCCGUCAGUCCAUGUUCGUGAAAGUGUGUAUGUAUGAGUUUGUGAGUAAGUCAAUGUAUGCAUGACAUUUCCAUAUGCAACAUUUAUGUUUUUCCUGUAUAUCUAUAUUAUGUUGCCUCUACUCUGACAGUGUUUUCUAAUUCUUCAAUACACAGAGAACACUAAUA
This 346-nucleotide long non-coding RNA is filed under the name Salmo salar (Atlantic salmon). Its description in RNAcentral is "lncRNA (ENSSSAG00000102086.1)". The record is from RNAcentral. Lineage: Eukaryota; Metazoa; Chordata; Actinopteri; Salmoniformes; Salmonidae.